UCAGGGGCCGCGAGGCCGGCGAUCCUUCUCAGGGGCCCCUUGCUCAGUGGCAGUAGGUGUCCCCCCAGCCAUCGGGGGAGAAAUGACCCCAGCUGGGACUUCCCUGGUGGCGCAGUGGUUAAGAAUCCACCUGCCAAUGCAGGGGACUUGGGUUUGAGCCCUGGUCCGGGAAGACCCCAUAUGCCACAGAGCAACUAAGCCCGUGCGCCACAACUACUGAGCCUGCACUCUAGACCCUGCAAGCCACAACUACCGAGCCCACGUGCCACAACUACUGAAGCCCGCGCGCCUAGAGCCCGUGCUCCGCAACAAGAGAAGCCACUGCAAUGAGAAGCCUGCGCACCACAACAAAGAGUAGCCCCCACUCACCGCAACUAGAGAAAAGCCCAGGAGCAGUGACGAAGACCUAACACAGCCAAAAGUAAAUAAAUAAAUAAAAUUUAAAAAAUUAAUUUAAAGCAUGAUCUCAAUGAAAUAUAUAAUAAAUGCAUAUUCUACUAUAUAUGUAUACAUAUGGAAGAAUUCUACUAAAAUGUUAAUAAUCUGAGAGUAAUAUCUCUCAGUGGUGGCAUUAUUUAUGAUUAUUAUUUUCCAUAUUGCACAGCUUUUACUUUUUAAAGUAUUACUUUUAUGACCAAAAAACAAAAAAAAAGAAGAAAUCAUAUAAGUUAAAGUAAGCAAAAU
This is a long non-coding RNA of Orcinus orca (killer whale), 684 nucleotides long. RefSeq lists it as uncharacterized. Lineage: Eukaryota; Metazoa; Chordata; Mammalia; Artiodactyla; Delphinidae. The record is from RefSeq and is a predicted model, not a curated record. The transcript is spliced from 2 exons.